Molecule: transfer RNA, 72 nt
Filed under: Candidatus Berkelbacteria bacterium CG2_30_39_44
Lineage: Bacteria; Candidatus Berkelbacteria
Also listed under: 6 other names
Description: tRNA-Gly
Rfam family: tRNA
About the family: Transfer RNA (tRNA) molecules are approximately 80 nucleotides in length.
Source: RNAcentral
GCGACAGUAGUUCAGUGGUAGAAUGUCUGCUUCCCAAGCAGAAGGUCGCCGGUUCGAUUCCGGUCUGUCGCU